UCCCAGUGAUGAGAUAAUGGCAAGUAUGAGCCAAUCAGGCUGAGAGUGUGCACCUUCCUCCCGAUUGGUGGGUAAUCUUGGCAGUGUGGCGAAGAUUGGCUGCUCUGCUGUAAGGGCCCACCUAUAGUAAACUAGCAGCCCUUCUCACCCUCUGCCCAUCCCAGAGACAUGGGAGAAGGCAGGAUGAAAGCUGCUGAAAGUGUUUGAGUGUGAGAGUAUAUGUUUCAGUUGGCAAGGGGACACAACUCUUUGUUGAUGGCCUUUGCUAUGGCUAUGACAUCUUCCUUUGGUAAUCUGAGGGCA
Molecule: small nucleolar RNA, 303 nt
Filed under: Oncorhynchus kisutch (coho salmon)
Lineage: Eukaryota; Metazoa; Chordata; Actinopteri; Salmoniformes; Salmonidae
Source: RNAcentral